UGGAAAUUGGCCUCCAAGACAGUUGUAAGGCUCCCCAGAGAAUUUUUUGGAACCUGCAUCUCUGGGUGCGGUGUGAUGUCACUUUUUAGUGUUUCUAGGCAUUGUGCCAAAACUCAGUUUCAGGAAAAUAAUUGCAAAAAUGUUUAAAUAAUUUGCAUGAGGUUUGUGAAAGCUAAGGAAAAGCUGCCUGUUCCAUUCCCAAAGGAGAUUUCAAGACACAAUCAAUGUUAGGCCGCAAAAACACUGUUUAGACAGAAUAAUUAUCAGCCCUUUCCCUUCUCUUUCAUUAUUAAACUGAGGCUUAUUCCCUCUGAGGGUUUCACCUGGCAUAUGGAAAGACUGUUGUUGCUAAGUCCCCUUUAUGGAUGUUCAAACAGGCUAAGCAAAUUUAUAGAGUUUACUAAAUUCAUUCAUGGACAUGAUUUGACAUGAAGUUGCUUCUGUGUCAUGAUUAGCUUUUUUGUUUCUAUUCAUGUUAUAAUCAAGUAUGAUGGAAUUAUAUAGAAUGGUUCCAAACUACAUGGAGAAUUCUUGAAAAUAUAUCCCAAUGCUGAGUUCAUUUCAGUCAUUGUUGGCACCUUAAAACUGAGCUCAAAGAACCCGAAGUGACAGGAUCAUCAAAACAACACACAGAAGGAUGCAGUGGGUGGAAUAGUAUUAAGACAAAAAAGUGAAGUCAUGUUUAAAUUGUGUUACAGCUAUCAAUGCCCAAGUUACAGUACAGUUAUUUCUUUAGGGAACUACUCAAAGUAUUGUUUGAGUGGAAUUAAAGUUAUUUUCACAGAGAUUCUUAAAAUGACAUCUUGUGAUUUAAAGAGACAUGGUACUCUUCAUAUCGUAGUUUAUUGAUUUUGACAGCUCAGGAAUGACAUUGAAUAACUGGCACAACUUAUUCUUGCCCCUCUCCUUAUACUGCCUAUUCAAACCACUCUGUGCAACUAGUUUUUCCUCUGCCUUGUCUGUGGAAGGCAGUAUUAUGUAAAUAGGUAGGUAGAUAAUUGCAUAUAUAUGCUUAGCUAACAAAAAGUCUUUGGACACUUACAAUCUAAACAGACUUAUGCUACUAAUUAAUGCCUGCUAAGUCGCUUCAGUCGUGUCCGACUCUGUGCAACCCCAUAGAUGG
This 1123-nucleotide long non-coding RNA is filed under the name Capra hircus (goat). RNAcentral describes it as "lncRNA (ENSCHIG00010026083.1)". Lineage: Eukaryota; Metazoa; Chordata; Mammalia; Artiodactyla; Bovidae. The record is from RNAcentral.